This 250-nucleotide ribosomal RNA is filed under the name uncultured bacterium. Its description in RNAcentral is "partial 16S ribosomal RNA". It matches the Rfam family "Bacterial small subunit ribosomal RNA", at positions 524 to 773 of the family's 1533-position model. The record is from RNAcentral.
UACGAAGGGGGCUAGCGUUGCUCGGAAUGACUGGGCGUAAAGGGCGCGUAGGCGGAUGGCACAGUCAGAUGUGAAAUUCCCGGGCUUAACCUGGGGGCUGCAUUUGAUACGUGUGAUCUAGAGUGAGGAAGAGGGUCGUGGAAUUCCCAGUGUAGAGGUGAAAUUCGUAGAUAUUGGGAAGAACACCGGUGGCGAAGGCGGCGACCUGGUCCUUGACUGACGCUGAGGCGCGAAAGCGUGGGGAGCAAAC